AACGAACGCUGGCGGCAUGCCUAACACAUGCAAGUCGAACGAGGUCUUCGGGUCUAGUGGCGCACGGGUGCGUAACGCGUGGGAAUCUGCCCUUUGGUUCGGAAUAACAGUUGGAAACGACUGCUAAUACCGGAUGAUGACGAAAGUCCAAAGAUUUAUCGCCAGAGGAUGAGCCCGCGUAGGAUUAGCUAGUUGGUGUGGUAAAGGCGAACCAAGGCGACGAUCCUUAGCUGGUCUGAGAGGAUGAUCAGCCACACUGGGACUGAGACACGGCCCAGACUCCUACGGGAGGCAGCAGUGGGGAAUAUUGGGCAAUGGGCGAAAGCCUGAUCCAGCAAUGCCGCGUGAGUGAUGAAGGCCUUAGGGUUGUAAAGCUCUUUUACCCGGGAUGAUAAUGACAGUACCGGGAGGAUAAGCUCCGGCUAACUCCGUGCCAGCCGCCGCCGUAA
This 449-nucleotide ribosomal RNA is filed under the name uncultured bacterium. RNAcentral describes it as "partial 16S ribosomal RNA". It matches the Rfam family "Bacterial small subunit ribosomal RNA", at positions 29 to 523 of the family's 1533-position model. The record is from RNAcentral.